AGUGAACGCUGGCGGUAGGCCUAACACAUGCAAGUCGAACGGCAGCACAGUAAGAGCUUGCUCUUACGGGUGGCGAGUGGCGGACGGGUGAGGAAUACAUCGGAAUCUACUUUUUCGUGGGGGAUAACGUAGGGAAACUUACGCUAAUACCGCAUACGACCUACGGGUGAAAGCAGGGGAUCUUCGGACCUUGCGCGAGUGAAUGAGCCGAUGUCGGAUUAGCUAGUUGGCGGGGUAAAGGCCCACAAAGGCGACGAUCCGUAGCUGGUCUGAGAGGAUGAUCCGCCACACUGGAACUGAGACACGGUCCAGACUCCUACGGGAGGCAGCAGUGGGGAAUAUUGGACGAUGGGCGCAAGCCUGAUCCAGCCAUACCGCGUGGGUGAAGAAGGCCUUCGGGUUGUAAAGCCCUUUUGUUGGGAAAGAAAAGCAGCAGGUUAAUACCCCGCUGUUCUGACGGUACCCAAAGAAUAAGCACCGGCUAACUUCGUG
Molecule: ribosomal RNA, 492 nt
Filed under: uncultured bacterium
Lineage: Bacteria
Description: partial 16S ribosomal RNA
Rfam family: Bacterial small subunit ribosomal RNA
Source: RNAcentral